This 83-nucleotide transfer RNA is filed under the name Canis lupus familiaris (dog). It matches the Rfam family "tRNA". Rfam says of the family: Transfer RNA (tRNA) molecules are approximately 80 nucleotides in length. Their secondary structure includes four short double-helical elements and three loops (D, anti-codon, and T loops). Further hydrogen bonds mediate the characteristic L-shaped molecular structure. tRNAs have two regions of fundamental functional importance: the anti-codon, which is responsible for specific mRNA codon recognition, and the 3' end, to which the tRNAs corresponding amino acid is attached (by aminoacyl-tRNA synthetases). tRNAs cope with the degeneracy of the genetic code in two manners: having more than one tRNA (with a specific anti-codon) for a particular amino acid; and 'wobble' base-pairing, i.e. permitting non-standard base-pairing at the 3rd anti-codon position. The record is from Rfam by way of RNAcentral. RNAcentral also lists the same sequence under 1 other name. Lineage: Eukaryota; Metazoa; Chordata; Mammalia; Carnivora; Canidae.
GCCUGGGUAGCUCAGUGGUUGAGCAUCUGCCUUUGGCUCAGGUUGUGAUCCCAGGGUCUUGGGAUCAAGUCCCCCAUCAGGCU